RNAcentral lists this ribosomal RNA (468 nucleotides) under uncultured bacterium. Its description in RNAcentral is "partial 16S ribosomal RNA". It matches the Rfam family "Bacterial small subunit ribosomal RNA", at positions 28 to 507 of the family's 1533-position model. The record is from RNAcentral.
GACGAACGCUGGCGGCGUGCUUAACACAUGCAAGUCGAACGGAAAGGCCCUGCUUUUGUGGGGUGCUCGAGUGGCGAACGGGUGAGUAACACGUGAGUAACCUGCCCUUGACUUUGGGAUAACUUCAGGAAACUGGGGCUAAUACCGGAUAUGAGCUCCUGCUGCAUGGUGUGGGUUGGAAAGUUUCGGCGGUUGGGGAUGGACUCGCGGCUUAUCAGCUUGUUGGUGGGGUAGUGGCUUACCAAGGCUUUGACGGGUAGCCGGCCUGAGAGGGUGACCGGCCACAUUGGGACUGAGAUACGGCCCAGACUCCUACGGGAGGCAGCAGUGGGGAAUAUUGCACAAUGGGCGGAAGCCUGAUGCAGCAACGCCGCGUGCGGGAUGACGGCCUUCGGGUUGUAAACCGCUUUCGCCUGUGACGAAGAGUGAGUGACGGUAAUGGGUAAAGAAGCACCGGCUAACUACGUG